This 424-nucleotide ribosomal RNA is filed under the name uncultured bacterium. RNAcentral's name for it is "bacterial SSU rRNA". It matches the Rfam family "Bacterial small subunit ribosomal RNA", at positions 355 to 776 of the family's 1533-position model. The record is from RNAcentral.
UGAGGAAUAUUGGUCAAUGGACGAGAGUCUGAACCAGCCAAGUAACGUGAAGGAUGACUGCCCUAUGGGUUGUAAACUUCUUUUAUAUGGGAAUAAAAUGUUCCACGUGUGGGAUUUUGUAUGUACCAUAUGAAUAAGGAUCGGCUAACUCCGUGCCAGCAGCCGCGGUAAUACGGAGGAUCCGAGCGUUAUCCGGAUUUACUGGGUUUAAAGGGAGCGUAGGUGGAUUGUUAAGUCAGUUGUGAAAGUUUGCGGCUCAACCGUAAAAUUGCAGUUGAAACUGGCAGUCUUGAGUACAGUAGAGGUGGGCGGAAUUCGUGGUGUAGCGGUGAAAUGCUUAGAUAUCACGAAGAACUCCGAUUGCGAAGGCAGCUCACUGGACUGCAACUGACACUGAGGCUCGAAAGUGUGGGUAUCAAACAGG